AACGGCAUUGAGUGCUUGCACUCUUUGGACGUCGACCGGCGCACGGGUGAGUAACGCGUAUCCAACCUUCCCAUUACUGUGGGAUAACCUGCCGAAAGGCAGACUAAUACCGCAUAGUCUUCGAUGACGGCAUCAGAUUUGAAGUAAAGAUUUAUCGGUAAUGGAUGGGGAUGCGUCUGAUUAGCUUGUUGGCGGGGUAACGGCCCACCAAGGCUACGAUCAGUAGGGGUUCUGAGAGGAAGGUCCCCCACAUUGGAACUGAGACACGGUCCAAACUCCUACGGGAGGCAGCAGUGAGGAAUAUUGGUCAAUGGACGGAAGUCUGAACCAGCCAAGUAGCGUGCAGGAUGACGGCCCUAUGGGUUGUAAACUGCUUUUGUAUGGGGAUAAAGUUAGGGACGUGUCCCUAUUUGCAGGUACCAUACGAAUAAGGACCGGCUAAUUCCGUGCCAGCAGCCGCGGUAAUACGGAAGGUCCAGGCGUUAUCCGGAUUUAUUGGGUUUAAAGGGAGCGUAGGCUGGAGAUUAAGUGUGUUGUGAAAUGUAGACGCUCAACGUCUGAAUUGCAGCGCAUACUGGUUUCCUUGAGUACGCACAACGUUGGCGGAAUUCGUCGUGUAGCGGUGAAAUGCUUAGAUAUGACGAAGAACUCCGAUUGCGAAGGCAGCUGACGGGAGCGCAACUGACGCUUAAGCUCGAAGGUGCGGGUAUCAAACAGGAUUAGAUACCCUGGUAGUCCGCACAGUAAACGAUGGAUGCCCGCUGUUGGUACCUGGUAUCAGCGGCUA
Molecule: ribosomal RNA, 787 nt
Filed under: uncultured Bacteroidota bacterium
Lineage: Bacteria; Pseudomonadati; Bacteroidota
Description: bacterial SSU rRNA
Rfam family: Bacterial small subunit ribosomal RNA
Source: RNAcentral